This 378-nucleotide unclassified non-coding RNA is filed under the name uncultured Cellvibrionales bacterium. RNAcentral describes it as "contains 16S-23S intergenic spacer region". Lineage: Bacteria; Pseudomonadati; Pseudomonadota; Gammaproteobacteria; Cellvibrionales. The record is from RNAcentral.
UCCGGUUUGUCACCGGCAGUCUCCUUAGAGUUCCCACCAUUACGUGCUGGCAACUAAGGACAAGGGUUGCGCUCGUUACGGGACUUAACCCAACAUCUCACGACACGAGCUGACGACAGCCAUGCAGCACCUGUCACUGAGCUCCCGAAGGCACCAAGGUAUCUCUACCAAGUUCUCAGGAUGUCAAGAGUAGGUAAGGUUCUUCGCGUUGCGUCGAAUUAAACCACAUGCUCCACCGCUUGUGCGGGCCCCCGUCAAUUCAUUUGAGUUUUAAUCUUGCGACCGUACUCCCCAGGCGGUCUACUUAGUGCGUUAGCUGCGCCACUAAGAGCUCAAGGCUCCCAACGGCUAGUAGACAUCGUUUACGGCGUGGACUAC